RNAcentral lists this ribosomal RNA (492 nucleotides) under uncultured bacterium. RNAcentral describes it as "partial 16S ribosomal RNA". It matches the Rfam family "Bacterial small subunit ribosomal RNA", at positions 29 to 507 of the family's 1533-position model. The record is from RNAcentral.
AGUGAACGCUGGCGGUAGGCCUAACACAUGCAAGUCGAACGGCAGCACAGUAAGAGCUUGCUCUUACGGGUGGCGAGUGGCGGACGGGUGAGGAAUACAUCGGAAUCUACUUUUUCGUGGGGGAUAACGUAGGGAAACUUACGCUAAUACCGCAUACGACCUACGGGUGAAAGCAGGGGAUCUUCGGACCUUGCGCGAUUGAAUGAGCCGAUGUCGGAUUAGCUAGUUGGCGGGGUAAAGGCCCACCAAGGCGACGAUCCGUAGCUGGUCUGAGAGGAUGAUCAGCCACACUGGAACUGAGACACGGUCCAGACUCCUAAGGGAGGCAGCAGUGGGGAAUAUUGGACAAUGGGCGCAAGCCUGAUCCAGCCAUACCGCGUGGGUGAAGAAGGCCUUCGGGUUGGAAAGCCCUUUUGUUGGGAAAGAAAAGCAGCAGGUUAAUACCCCGCUGUUCUGACGGUACCCAAAGAAUAAGCACCGGCUAACUUCGUG